AUGAGCAAAUCAUUGAGUCCAAGAUACCGUGUGUUGUCCAGAUAUGAAAAGGAAUAUUUGGCCAUUGUGGUAGGCAUAGAGCAAUGACGCCCAUAUUUGCAGCAUGCAGAAUUUGUUAUUCAAAAAGACCAGAAAAUAUUGAUUCACCUAGAAGAGUAGCGUUUGUCCACUCCAUGGCAGCAGAAGGCAUUCACCAAGCUAUUGGGUUUGCAAUACUGCAUCAUAUGUAAAAAGGUCCAGAGAAUGGCGCCGCAGAUGCUCUCUCAAGAUCGCUUCCUUUUGAGAAACUCUAUAGUUUUUUCAGCUCAGCCAACAUGGUUGAAAGAAGUAAUCAACAGUUAUAAUGCCAACCCCCACGCAGUGGCGAUUCCACUAGGGGGGCUUCAAUAG
This 390-nucleotide ribosomal RNA is filed under the name Triticum aestivum (bread wheat). Its description in RNAcentral is "partial small subunit ribosomal RNA". The record is from RNAcentral. Lineage: Eukaryota; Viridiplantae; Streptophyta; Magnoliopsida; Poales; Poaceae.